Long non-coding RNA from Melospiza melodia melodia, 185 nucleotides. RefSeq lists it as uncharacterized. The transcript has 3 exons. NCBI's taxonomy places the organism in Eukaryota, Metazoa, Chordata, Aves, Passeriformes, Passerellidae. The record is from RefSeq and is a predicted model, not a curated record.
AGCAGACAUUGUGUAUUUACUCUGCAGUGCCAGAGUGCAGAGAUAAAGGUGGGCAACUGAAUCAAACAGGAUCUUUUUGGGGCACCUGAAUGCAAGAAUGGGGACACCUGGUGAUUCACCUGGCUCAGAAUCCUCUCCGUCAGCAGUGGCCAGGGAUGGGAGCCUGAGGAGAGACAAGAACCAGG